This 928-nucleotide long non-coding RNA is filed under the name Marmota monax (woodchuck). Lineage: Eukaryota; Metazoa; Chordata; Mammalia; Rodentia; Sciuridae. The record is from RNAcentral.
CCGUGCUCCGGCAGGGAGGGAAGUGCCCUCUCCUCACCCAGAGCAGCCGGGGAGAGCACCGCUCAAGGGACCUGAGGGGCAGACACGGCUGCUGGCACGGGCAGCGCAGGAGCCCUGGGCCACUGCUGAGGAAGCCUGCACGGUGCCGUGGCCGUGGCCCCAAGUGCCUGCUUUUGUCUAAGAAGGUACUAGAAGGGAGAGGGACACACGGCCUUGGCCACAGCUGGCCUCACACUGAGCCACGGCAGGGCGCGUCUCACCCAACUCCUGCUCCUCUCUUGCUGCCUCUUCCCUUCGGGGAGAGCCUGGGACGUCUGAAGUGUGGGGCCUGGAGAGGGGCCAUGUGCACCUGUAGCUUCUUACCUGGGCAGCACCUCUCUCCUUGGUGCCUGGCCAGGCAGCGCUGUCCAUGGUGCUGAAACCCUAGCCAACACAGAUUCAGGGUGGUCUGUGCAUUCCUUGCCCAUGGCCAGUUUGGACCCCAGAGCAAAGGCACACUCAGUGCUGCCCCCUGCUGGGCAGCUGUGUGUCCAACAUGGCAUUGGCUACAGGGAGCCCAUCUGUGCCCACAGACCAGGUAGGUCCUGCUCUGGCCCCUCCAUCCAGGGCUCCACCGAAACUCAGCACAUUGUCCUCUCCCCAUCGCACCUGGCAGAAGAUGAACUCAUACUAAAUGCCUUCAUUGGUCCUCAGAAGUGGCUAAGCCCAAAGAUGGGCUUCAGGCUCCACUGGACCCUCCCCGUUGAGUUCUGCUCUUGGGCGUCUUCCCUGGGUAGGGCCUCUCCAGGGCUAUGCAAGUCUUUGGGGUCCAUGUUCUGGGUGAGAUGGCCCUUCCCUGGGGUCUAGACUGCAGGGGAGGCUGGUUGAGCUUGGAGGGUGGCAGCAGGAGGAGGGGGCUGCAGCUGACCACAGGAUGGUGAGGAGGGGC